CGAACCCAUGUCCCGUUUUAAAAGUCUUCGGCAAUAUCAUCAACGCGGUUACUUCAAUCUCUCUAUCCCCCAUUGUACACUGUUUAUGAAAAAUUCUACAGACCAUUUCAGCUUUAGAGAUGGAGAAUUUUGCACAAGUCCUGCUUGCCAUUAACAUUUCUGGUGUUGCAGGUUCGAGUCAUGGAAUAACCUUCUUUUGAUCACGUUGCAUCUGUCAUUUCGUCCUCCCCUUUUCAUUUCAUCUCUCUCUCUCUCUCUCUCUCUCUCUCUCUCUCUCU
Molecule: long non-coding RNA, 278 nt
Organism: Rhododendron vialii
Lineage: Eukaryota; Viridiplantae; Streptophyta; Magnoliopsida; Ericales; Ericaceae
Exons: 2
Source: RefSeq, a predicted model, not a curated record